GAUUAAGUUAUUAAGGGCGCACGGUGGAUGCCUUGGCACUAGAAGCCGAUGAAGGACGUUACUAACGACGAUAUGCUUUGGGGAGCUGUAAGUAAGCUUUGAUCCAGAGAUUUCCGAAUGGGGAAACCCAGCAUGAGUUAUGUCAUGUUAUCGAUAUGUGAAUACAUAGCAUAUCAGAAGGCACACCCGGAGAACUGAAACAUCUUAGUACCCGGAGGAAGAGAAAGAAAAUUCGAUUCCCUUAGUAGCGGCGAGCGAAACGGGAAGAGCCCAAACCAACAAGCUUGCUUGUUGGGGUUGUAGGACACUCUAUACGGAGUUACAAAGGACGACAUUAGACGAAUCAUCUGGAAAGAUGAAUCAAAGAAGGUAAUAAUCCUGUAGUCGAAAAUGUUGUCUCUCUUGAGUGGAUCCUGAGUACGACGGAGCACGUGAAAUUCCGUCGGAAUCUGGGAGGACCAUCUCCUAAGGCUAAAUACUCUCUAGUGACCGAUAGUGAACCAGUACCGUGAGGGAAAGGUGAAAAGCACCCCGGAAGGGGAGUGAAAUAGAACCUGAAACCGUGUGCUUACAAGUAGUCAGAGCCCGUUAAUGGGUGAUGGCGUGCCUUUUGUAGAAUGAACCGGCGAGUUACGAUUUGAUGCAAGGUUAAGCAGUAAAUGUGGAGCCGUAGCGAAAGCGAGUCUGAAUAGGGCGUUUAGUAUUUGGUCGUAGACCCGAAACCAGGUGAUCUACCCUUGGUCAGGUUGAAGUUCAGGUAACACUGAAUGGAGGACCGAACCGACUUACGUUGAAAAGUGAGCGGAUGAACUGAGGGUAGCGGAGAAAUUCCAAUCGAACCUGGAGAUAGCUGGUUCUCUCCGA
Molecule: ribosomal RNA, 864 nt
Filed under: Staphylococcus aureus
Lineage: Bacteria; Bacillati; Bacillota; Bacilli; Caryophanales; Staphylococcaceae
Description: partial 23S ribosomal RNA
Rfam family: Bacterial large subunit ribosomal RNA
Source: RNAcentral